UGCGUAGGUGGUGAGGUAAGUCGGAUGUGAAAUACUGGAGCUUAACUCCGGAACGGCAUUGGAAACUACCUUGCUGGAGGGUUGGAGGGGGGACUGGAAUUCUCGGUGUAGCAGUGAAAUGCGUAGAUAUCGAGAGGAACACCGGUGGCGAAGGCGAGUCCCUGGACAACACCUGACACUGAGGCACGAAAGCUAGGGGAGCAAACA
Molecule: ribosomal RNA, 207 nt
Filed under: uncultured bacterium
Lineage: Bacteria
Description: partial 16S ribosomal RNA
Rfam family: Bacterial small subunit ribosomal RNA
Source: RNAcentral